AUUCUACAAGGAGUUGUUGAGCACCUGCUAUCUAUCUACAGAAAUCUUGAAAUGUGGAACAGGGAUGGAAAUAUAGCAUGCAAGUCAGAAUGAAUUGCCAAACAAUGACAGAAGGCUGCUCUGAAAUGAUCAAAAUUUUCUCCUGGGACCUUACACCAAAGGAAUAUAACAGGCGUUCAUUUCUAAGACAAUGCCUAG
This 198-nucleotide non-coding RNA is filed under the name Pongo abelii (Sumatran orangutan). The record is from RNAcentral. Lineage: Eukaryota; Metazoa; Chordata; Mammalia; Primates; Hominidae.